Molecule: long non-coding RNA, 5714 nt
Organism: Dreissena polymorpha
Lineage: Eukaryota; Metazoa; Mollusca; Bivalvia; Myida; Dreissenidae
Exons: 2
Source: RefSeq, a predicted model, not a curated record
GCGAACUAGGGCCAUCUUGGCCCUCUUGUUUCCGAUUGUUAUUGAUAAAUUGUAACUGCUAUUUUAAUAAUAUAUUUUAAUAAUAUAAUUUCCAAAUUGUCGACCAAAAGCAUUACGCAUGUUCUAUUUUUUUGUAUUGUUGUUGAUGAUUAUUCAUAAAGAAAUAUUUUAAAUAUUUUCUGAGUAAGAAUAGUAAUUUUGCUUGCUUAUAUAAUAUGUUCACUUUUUUUUCGAAUCUAUUACAAUUCAUAUUUGAAAUUCACAUUUUGCUUAAAUUGUUCAAAGGAAUUGAUGCAAUCGAUCUCUUAUUGUUUUGUUGCUCAUGAAAUGUUCUGAUAUGGACUGGUUUCAUGUCACAUGCAAUUUGAUAUCAGAUAUGAUUUAAAACAUAUUUUGCAAAUUUUCUUUGUACUUUUUAUCAUAUUUUUUUUAAUUAUUUACUUAUAUGCAAUGCAUGAAUAUUUAUUGUGCUUGACAGGGGCGGACUGAUUCCAAUUUACCAGUAUGUUUUACUUGUUCAAAAACAUGGAUCAAAAUGUUAUGCAUAUUUAUAUGUUUCUAUCGUAAUACAAUUGGAUUGCAUCAUUUUAAGUCACAGUACUCACUGUUCAACACAUACGGAUUCUGCUACAAAGAUUGUUGAAAGUUCAAAAUUAGUUUGAUGAUCUAAUCAAAAGUGAAUUUGUCACACAAAAACAGCAAUUCCAUAUUUAAGGCCUUUUAGAAAGAAAUGUCUAAUUCUGGAUAGAAUAUAUUUCCAAUUUUAGAUUUUAAACUGACUGUGAUCUUGACCCUUGACGCCUCGGAUACUCUGUCUAGCUUUGCUUGUCUCUUUUAUUUAUUAUGCCCCCCUACAAAGAAGAGGGGGUAUAUUGUUUUGCACAUGUCGGUCGGUCCGUCUUCCAAAUGGUUUCCGAAUGAUAACUCAAGAACGCUUAGGCCUGGGAUCAGGGAAGUUCAUAGGUACAUUGAUCAUGACUGGCAGAUGACGACUAUUGGUUUUCAGGUCACUAGGUCAAGGUCACAGUGACUCAAAACAGUAUAAUGGUUUCCGGAUGAUAACUCAAGAACGCUUAAGCCUGGGAUCAGGAAAGUUCAUGGGGACAUUGUUCAUGACCGGCAGAUGACCCCUAUUGAUUUUCAGGUCACUUGGUCAAAGUUCAAAGUGACUCGAAGCAGUAAAAUGGUUUCCGGAUGAUAACUCAAGAACGCUUAAGCCUGGGAUCAGGAAUGUUCAUGGGGACAUUGGUAAUGACCGGCAGAUGACCCCUAUUGACUUUCAGGUCACUAGGUCAAAUUUCAAGGUCACAGUGACUCGAAAUAGUAAAAUAGUUUCCGGAUGAUAAUGUAUUCAUACAAGGGCUGCCACUACAACUGACAGCCCAAUUGGGGGCAUGCGUGUUUUACAAACAGUCCUUGUUUAGAAAUCAAAUCAAAUUUGGCAAUACACAAUAAAUUGCCCGGGGAAAACCAUUUACAUAAACUUUUGUCUUGAAGUAAGACCUUUGAUAUAGGGUCAGAUUCCUGUAUAUGGAAAAAUCUGGUCACUAAUAAGAAUUUGAAAAAUCUUUUCAGAUCAGACUUUGUUGUUCAGGACAAAAAUAAGGUGCCUUGACAUUGAACUGUUACUUUGAUCAUUGACAUGAGGACGUAUUUCUUGCCCACAACACAACUGAUCAUCCUGGUCACUUAAUUGUACUUUAUUUGCAAUCAAUACAUUCAAGGCACUGAGCCUUGCUCAGUUUGAAGAGCGGUGUACUACAAACGCAAGGUUGGCGUGGUUUUAUUCUUGACCCAGUGAUAGAACUUGUCUGGGGCGUGUCAUGAUAUUCAUUCUAUGGCCAUUCACCCCUAUCUCUGAUCAAAGUAGGUCAGUUGUUAGCUUUUGGCAUAAGUAUGUGCAGUAGAUACAUGUUAACCAACAUACACUUUAAAAAUAAAAGUGGGUUUAACUUCCACAGUCACAACUGAAAUACUGUUCAAAAUAUAAAAUCAAAUACAGAUUAACAAACACAUACAUGCUGGACAAAUUUAUCUCACAACAAAGAGUUUGGGUUUAUGUAUCAAAUGUGACCUUUUAACCUGCUUGAAUUGUGACUUUGACCCUUAACUUAUGGAACCUGGAUCUUGCAUUAAAGCCCCCCCCCACCCUGGUCUAGACAAUUUUUUUCACUUCUUUCAAGUUUGUUUUUAGCUCACCUGAUUGCUCAGGUGAGCUUUUCUGAGCGGUCUUUGUCCGUCAUCCGUCCGUCCGUUAACAUUUGCUUGUAAACACUCUAGAGGCCACAUUUGUUGUCCCAUCUUCAUGAAACUUGGUCAGAAGCUUUGCCCCAAUAAAAUCUCGGCCGAGUUCGAAACUGGGUUGUGCCGUGUCAAAAACAAGGUCACUAGGUCAAAAAAGGAGAACCUUGUAAACACUGUAGAAGUCACAUUUUAUGUUCAAUCUUCAUGUAAUUUUAUGUUCAAUCUUCAUGUAACUAUGUAAAAAUGUUUGUCUUAAUGUAUCUUGAUUGAGUUCAAAAGUGGUUCCGGUCUGUUAAAAACAUGGUCGCUAGUGGGCGGCGCAGUUUUCCUUAUUUGGCUAUAGAGAAACCUUGUAAACACUCUAGAAAUCACAAUUUUUGCCCAAUCAUCAUGAAAGGUGGUCAAAACAUUAAUUUAAUUGAUAUCUCGGACGAGUUCGAAAAUGAUCCAGAUCGGUAAAAAAACAUGGCCGCCAGUGGGCGGGGCAUUUUUCUCUAUAUGUAUAUAGUGGCAGUUUUCCCUAUUUGGCUAUAGAGAAACCUUGUAAACACUCUAGAAGUCACAAUUAUUGUCCAAUCAUCAUGAAAGUUUAUCAAAACAUUGGUUUCAUUGUUAUUUCGGACGAGUUCGAAAAUGGUCUAGAUCGGUGAAAAAACAUGGCCGCCAGUGGGCGGGGCAUUUUUCUUUAAAUGUAUAUAGUGGCAGUUUUCCCUAUUUGGCUAUAGAGAAACCUUGUAAACACUCUAGAAGUCACAAUUUUUGCCCAAUCAUCAUGAAAGUUGGUCAAAACAUUGGUUUUAUUGAUAUCUUGGACGAGUUCGACAAUGGUUUGGAUCGGUGAAAUAACAUGACUGCCAGUGGGUGGGGCAUUUUUCUCUAUAUGUAUACAUUGUAUAGUGAAAACAUAUUAACACUCUAGAAGUCACAUUUUUGGCCCAAUUUUUAUGAAAUUUGGUCAGAACAUUUGUUUCUUUGAUACAAGAGUUGAGUUCAAAAAUGGUUUCGGUCAAACCUUGUGAUCGAAUACUAUGGAAGUCACAUUUUUAUGCCCCCCUUCGAAGAAGAGGGGGUAUAUUGUUUUGCUCAUGUCGGUCCGUAUGUCUGUCCAACAGAUGGUUUCCGAAUGAUAAGUCAAGAACGCUUAGGCCUAGGAUCAUGAAACUUCAUAGGUACAUUGAUCAUGACUCGCAGAUGAUCCCUAUUGAUUUUGAGGUCUCUAGGUCAAAGGUCAAGAUCAUGGUGACCCGAAACAAGUAAAAUGGUUUCCCGAUGAUAACUCAAGAAGGCUUACGCCUAGGAUCAUGAAACUUCAUAGGUACAUUGAUUAUGACUCGCAGAUGACCCCUAUUGAUUUUGAGGUCACUAGGUCAAAGGUCAAGGUGACCCGAAAUAGUAAAAUAGUUUCUGGAUGAUAACUCAAGAACGCUUAUGCUUAGGAUCAUGAAACUUCAUAGGUACAUUGAUCAUGACUUGCAGAUGACCCCUAUUGAUUUUCAGGUCACUAGGUCAAAGGUCAAGGUCAUGGUGUUUCAACUUAGAAAAAUGGUUUCCAGAUGAUGAGUCAAGAAGGCCUAUGCCUAGGAUCAUGAAACUUCAUAGGUACAUUGAUCAUGACUUGCAGAUGACCCGUAUUGACUUUCAGGUCACUAGGUCAAGGUCACGGUUACUCUACACAGUAAAAUGGUUUUUUGAUGAAAACUCAAGAAAGCUUACGCCUAGGAUCAUGAAACAAUAUAAUGGUCAAGUUGAUAGAAUUUUCUUAUUAAAUCAAUCAAAAAUGGAAUUUACCAUGUAGAUGUUUUGAACAUCUUAUAACUUUGUUAUCUAUCUGACAUGUGUGCAUUAUAAUCAUUGCAUCUUUUUUAAAGAUGUUUGUGGUUUAAAGUUUUUGUUUUUGUUUUGGUAAUUAAACACAAUGCACUAAAUUGAAAAUUUCCAGACAGACUAACAUUGGGCUGACCUUGAAACGAUGCAAGAUGGAAUGUAAUUCAUUUGUUUGUUUUGUUAUUUAAAAUCUUGACAUGUCAACUAUGAAAACACUAUUCAAUUUUUAUUUUGUUAUCAUACUAGGACACUACAGUUCAUAUGUGCUCUAAAAUCUUCAAGUACACAAGAACAAACACACACAACUCAAUUUGAUAUUAACCCAUUGAUGCCUAACUUUGAUUAUGAGAGGAAGGAAUAAGUCAUGCUGAAGGAUACACACAUUGAUUGUUUAUGAAGUUAAUGUAUGGGAUCAGGAAUAACAUUUUUCUGUAAUUCGUUGGUGUGUGAGCUCUGGUCAACAGGCUGUGUUUAAAGAAGACAUUAACAAUGGAUAUAUGCUACUGCUGAUAAAGGGUUCUAAAAUAUACAGCUACAUGUACCAAAUUUAGGUUUGGAAUGUAAAUUGCUAACUGUAUGCUACAUUGAUCAUGACUCACCAAUGACCCCUAUUGAUCUUACUAGGUCAAAGGUGACAGUCACAGUGAUUCAAAAUACAAAAAUUGGUUUUCAAAUGAUAACUCAAAAACACUUUCACCUAGGAUAAAGACUUCAUAGGUACAUUGAUCAUGCUUAUAAAAAUACCCCUUUUGAAUUUCAAAUCACUACAUCAAAGAUCAACAUCACAGUGACUCAAAACAAUAAAAUUGUUUCUUGAUAUUUACUGACAAUGCUUACGCCUAGAUUCAUGAUCUUCAUAGUUACAUUGAUCAUGACUGGCAGAUGACCAACAUAAUGUUCAAGUCACUAGGUCAAACGUCUUAAUAACAAUGACUCAACACUGUAAAAUGGUGUCCAGAUGACAACUCAAGAAACCAAGGUCAAAAGUCAAAGUCACAAUGACUAAUAUAUUCAUAUUCACACAAUGGCUGCCAUUACAACUGACAGCCCAUAUGCAGGGAUGCAUGUUUUACAAGCAACCCAAUACAUUUUGUAAACAUUCAAUGAACACACUCUUCUCAGGUGAGCGAACUAGGGCCAUCUUGGCCCUCUUGUUUACUAAAACUGUGUUAUUGACCUUUGACAGAGGUGCAUGCUUCUUGUGCGUACAUCUGUCUGGAUAUGAUUGUCAAUGUUGCCAAGUUACUUAAAUAUCCUUAAAGGCUUAAAUUUGGAUUUGGGGUCAGUCACAACAUGCAAAUCACUUCUGCCAAGUUAUUUUUUAAAACCUGCCUCAGCUAGGACUCUCACAUAAUAUGGCUGUUUUUGAAAUCAUGGUGGCAUAAUAACUUUUAAUAGUAAAAGCUUAUUGAAUAAUUAUAGAAAGACGUAUGCCGCUUUCAGACUCUUUUUUUCACAUUAGCAUAAUAUUACAACAUUGCGUUUUAAGAACAUUUUUCAAUAUAAUAAUCACAUUAAGGUUAUUUACAUGUUUUAAAUCAAAGAACAGUUUGUCAGCAUACUUGUUGGGCUAUGUUUAAAUGAACUUUGUGAAGUUGACUGCAGGUAUUUAUAACUUGUUUUACCAAUAAAUAGUUUACAUGAAU